UUAUUUUGGGAAAAAGGCAAAGUGAAUGGCCCUAAAAAGAUACAGUCUGGAGCUCAUCCUCAUCUCAGUGACAAAUUGUGAAGUCACGAUUUAUAAAUCUUUAAUUCCUCAGUAUCUUAUUCAGUAACUGGAAGACCCAUAUGUUGGCAUACAAGAAUUCUGAUGUCUGUCCUGAGGAUGAACAAUUGAAGGAAAUAUGUUUGCUCUUCCUCAUCCCUUGCCAUUUCCAUGAUGUCAUUGGGCUUGGCCCUAGCAACUGGAAAGUUAGAACAGAGGAAAGGACUACCUGCAGAGCAAAAUGUACACAACAAUGUAUGGUAGCAAUGACGAGCAUCGCUGGCACUAAGAUCUAUCUCAAGGUUUAUGAAGAGAAGAGAAAAUAAGAUGGAAACUAAAGGCAUUUUGAGUUGGCUUAAUCAGUAGGUAAACCAUUUUAACUGUGACUCAUUUACUAAAACACUGCCAUGUCCUGCAGAAAUGAAGAGGUUUGUACUUGUCUAGGAAUUUUGAUUGUGUAGACAUUCUUACUACGUUUUUGGUGGGUUUUUUCCCCUUCAUGUGGAGUAUCUGCUGUUGAAAGCAUGUGCUUGGCUGUCCAUGGGUGCCUGCUAUGGCACCACCUUUAUGUGGUUUUGACCCCUGGGGAACAUAGUUGACCACAUGUACUGAAUAAACUAUUGCUUUCAACAUA
Lagopus leucura (white-tailed ptarmigan) is the source of this 691-nucleotide long non-coding RNA. RefSeq lists it as uncharacterized. The record is from RefSeq and is a predicted model, not a curated record. The transcript is spliced from 2 exons. Lineage: Eukaryota; Metazoa; Chordata; Aves; Galliformes; Phasianidae.